RNAcentral lists this ribosomal RNA (440 nucleotides) under uncultured bacterium. Its description in RNAcentral is "partial 16S ribosomal RNA". It matches the Rfam family "Bacterial small subunit ribosomal RNA", at positions 338 to 795 of the family's 1533-position model. The record is from RNAcentral.
CCUACGGGUGGCAGCAGUGGGGGAUAUUGCACAAUGGGGGAAACCCUGAUGCAGCAACGCCGCGUGAGGGAAGAAGUAUUUCGGUUUGUAAACCUCUAUCAUCAGGGAAGAAAAUGACAGUACCUGACCAAGAAGCACCGGCUAACUACGUGCCAGCAGCCGCGGUAAUACGUAGGGGGCAGGCGUUAUCCGGAUUUACUGGGUGUAAAGGGGGCGGAGGCGGUGAUGCAAGUCUGAAGUGAAAGCCCGGGGCUCAACCCCGGGACUGCUUUGGAAACUGUGUAACUGGAGUACAGGAGGGGCAGGCGGAAUUCCGGGUGUAGCGGUGAAAUGCGUAGAUAUCAGGAGGAACACCAGCGGCGAAGGCGGCCUGCUGGACUGAAACUGACGCUGAGGCUCGAAAGCGUGGGGAGCAAACAGGAUUAGAUACCCUGGUAGUC